GCCAGGCAUGGUGGCUCACGCCUGUAAUCCCAGCACUUUGGGAGGCUGAGGCAGGCGGAUCACCUGAGGUCGGGAGUUCGAGACCAGCCUGACCAAUAAGGUGAAACCCUGUCUCUA
This 117-nucleotide small RNA is filed under the name Pongo abelii (Sumatran orangutan). Its description in RNAcentral is "Metazoan signal recognition particle RNA (ENSPPYG00000035573.1)". Lineage: Eukaryota; Metazoa; Chordata; Mammalia; Primates; Hominidae. The record is from Rfam by way of RNAcentral.